GAGUUUGAUCUUGGCUCAGAUUGAACGCUGGCGGCAUGCCUUACACAUGCAAGUCGAACGGCAGCACGGGAGCUUGCUCCUGGUGGCGAGUGGCGAACGGGUGAGUAAUGCAUCGGAACGUAUCCUGGAGUGGGGGAUAACGUAGCGAAAGUUACGCUAAUACCGCAUAUUCUGUGAGCAGGAAAGCGGGGGACCUUCGGGCCUCGCGCUCUUGGAGCGGCCGAUGUCGGAUUAGCUAGUUGGUGAGGUAAAGGCUCACCAAGGCGACGAUCCGUAGCAGGUCUGAGAGGAUGAUCUGCCACACUGGAACUGAGACACGGUCCAGACUCCUACGGGAGGCAGCAGUGGGAAUUUUGGACAAUGGGGGCAACCCUGAUCCAGCCAUGCCGCGUGAGUGAAGAAGGCCUGGUU
Molecule: ribosomal RNA, 411 nt
Filed under: bacterium enrichment culture clone ALO1_GLFRUDD03G2QHW
Lineage: Bacteria
Description: bacterial SSU rRNA
Rfam family: Bacterial small subunit ribosomal RNA
Source: RNAcentral